Scylla paramamosain (green mud crab) is the source of this 2164-nucleotide long non-coding RNA. RefSeq lists it as uncharacterized. The record is from RefSeq and is a predicted model, not a curated record. NCBI's taxonomy places the organism in Eukaryota, Metazoa, Arthropoda, Malacostraca, Decapoda, Portunidae. The transcript has 2 exons.
UCAUAGAUGUCCAACCCUUCAGGAGGUAAACAUAUCACGCAGGGAAGCCACAGAACGCCUGACUUCUGAUCUUUCUAAAAUUUCUGAUUGGGGCAGAGCAAACUUGGUAUUGUUCAAUGCCUCAAAAACUCAAUUCCUCCAUCUAUCAACUCGACACAACCUUCCAGACAACUAUCCCCUCUUCUUCAAUGACGCUCGAUGGUCCCCCUCUUCUACACUGAACAUCCUCGGUCUGUCCUUUACUUAUAAUCUGAACUGGAAACUUCACAUCUCAUCUCUAGCUAAAACAGCUUCUAUGAAGUUCGGUGUUCUGAGAUGUCUCCCCCAGCUUUUCUCAUCCCCCCCCAGCUGCUAACUCUGUACAAGGGCCUUAUCCGUCCAUGUAUGGAGUAUGCUUCACAUGUCUGGGGGGUUCCACUCAUACUGCUCUUCUAGACAGGGUGGAAUCAAAUGCUUUUCGUCUCAUCAACUCCUCUCCUCUAACUGACUGUCUUCAGCCUCUCUCUCACCGCCGCAAUGUUGCAUAUCUAGCUGUCUUCUACCGCUCACUCAAACAAUGCUACAACGUAAAUCCCUUUGCUCUUCCUCACAAAAUUUUGCUUUUUUUUAACUUUAUCUUGUUAUUCAUGAGCCACCCAAAUAAGCGGUGCAGCCAUUAUGUCACUGGUAUGACUGUAUAAGUGCCCACAUCUCCCCUGCCUUUGCUGCAAUGUUGCGGCACAUCCCCUCUGUGUAUUCCGUCACCAAGGAAAGUCAAGCGUGGCACAGUUUUGAGCGCAGUCCCCCGCAGUGACAUUGGUGCAGUCACCCCUUCCAUCAACGCAGUCUUCAAAGAGAAAGAACAGAUUGACGGUGACUAAAGCAAACUUACAAAGUCAACCUACAGUUAAUAAUAAUGAUAAUAAUAAUAAUAAUAAUAAUAAUAAUGAUAAUAAUAAUAAUAAUAAUAGUAGUAAUGGUAAUAAGAGGAGCACUAGUGUAACUGAGGGUGCAGCGCGGCCUUUCACUUCCACCUGAAGGAAAAUGAAAAGCAAGAUUUGUGUUUGUACAAUCAUUUUAUUGAGAAGCAAAAUGAGACAGUGUGAAUAUUGAUAACAGAAGUGUUUGCACUGGAAACUUUCGUGUUGUUAGUGAAGGAGCAAUGCGUGGAGCGGUGUGUCCUGCCGCCAAUAUUCACACCAACAACUGCCACCAUCACAACCCGCACUCUGAACUUUACAUGUGUGUCCGUCUGUCUGUCUGUAUGUCUGUCUGUAUGUAUGUGUGUGUGUGUGUGUGUGUGUGUGUGUGUGUGUGUGUUUAUGGGCGUGUGUAUGUGUUUGCUUGUCUACUCAAAAAUAAAUAAAUAAAUAAAUGAUGGUGGCAGUGGUGUGGUGUGUGGUGUGGUGCAGCAGUGCCGUGCCAGCACCACGCCACACUGCACCACAGUCACCUCAGCAGUGGGGCAGUGGCGGGCUGCCUCCUGCACCUCCUCCAUGCCCCGCACCACCUCGCCAGAGACACCAGGCCAACCACCACCACGCUGCCUGUCCCCGGGUAGCGUCACCACCGCCACCACCACCACCACCGCCGCCUGGCCAGACUGCCAGCACUCACCCUGGGAAAGGUGUGUGCGUGCGUGUGUGCGCGGGUGGAGGUAGAGGAGGGAGGGGCGCAAGGGUGGGCGGCGGUCCCUGCCUCACCUGAGUUCUGGGAGUGGAGGAAAUUGAAAGAGUGUCACUGGUCACCGAACCCUUCUGUCCGCCAUCACGGUUCUUGUAAACAACGCCAAGAGACCGCUAGGGCAAACACUUUUCUUCUAUCUUCACUAUCACUGUCCUGUUACUAUUUUACUGUGCAUUAUUAAAUUCAGUGUAUUUUUUACAAGUACUGUGAUGUUUUUUUUGGUCUUAAUCGUCUAGUUCUCUUUCUUGUAAUAUAUAGUAACUCAUGUCUACGCUUCUGUCUCCAGUAACACCAUUUUGUUACUAAUUUCCUAUGCGUCGGUGACCAUUUACUUCUGCUACUUACUUCUUAUGUACAUGUUAUGUAUAAACUUCUAGGCAGAGAAUAAAUGAAAUGUUAAAGAGACCGCCGGGUUAAAGCAUUCUUCCUUGUUUCCUAGCGAGAAGUCUGUCUUUGAAAUUACGGCAUGAAAAUAAAUUAUGCUUCGCCUACUUGAGAA